UCAUAUGCUUGUCUCAAAGAUUAAGCCAUGCAUGUCCAAGUACAAGCCUCACUAAGGUGAAACCGCGAAUGGCUCAUUAAAUCACACCUAAUCUACUGGAUAGUUAACAGGUACUUGGAUACCUGCGGUAAUUCUGGAGCUAAUACAUGCGAAAAGCCUCGAACUUACGUGAGAGGCGCUUUUAUUAGAUCAAAACCAAUCGGCUUCGGCUGUACUCUUGGUGACUCUGAAUAACUUUGGGCUGAUCGUAUAGCCUUGCGCUGACGACAUAUCCUUCGAAGGUGUGCCCUAUCAACUGUCGACUGUGGCAUAGACGCCCACAGUGGUUUUGACGGGUAACGGGGAAUCAGGGUUCGAUUCCGGAGAGGGAGCCU
RNAcentral lists this ribosomal RNA (374 nucleotides) under Calanus finmarchicus. Its description in RNAcentral is "SSU rRNA". It matches the Rfam family "Eukaryotic small subunit ribosomal RNA", at positions 24 to 397 of the family's 1831-position model. The record is from RNAcentral. Lineage: Eukaryota; Metazoa; Arthropoda; Copepoda; Calanoida; Calanidae.